GUUGUGGCUCAGUGGUAGAACGCCUGCCUAGCCUGUGUGGGGCCCUGGGUUUGAUCCUCAGCACAACA
Molecule: transfer RNA, 68 nt
Filed under: Marmota monax (woodchuck)
Lineage: Eukaryota; Metazoa; Chordata; Mammalia; Rodentia; Sciuridae
Description: tRNA.Ala
Source: RNAcentral